This 322-nucleotide ribosomal RNA is filed under the name uncultured myxomycete. RNAcentral describes it as "bacterial SSU rRNA". It matches the Rfam family "Eukaryotic small subunit ribosomal RNA", at positions 80 to 365 of the family's 1831-position model. Lineage: Eukaryota; Evosea; Eumycetozoa. The record is from RNAcentral.
UCUGAAUCUGCGNACGGCUCCGCAAACCAGUUGUAAACCAAAGCAAGCACGAUCGGUAUUCGGCCCUCACAGGUCGGGUGCCGGUCAAUAAGGAUAACCCUGGUAAUUCUGAGGCUAAUACUAGAUCGUAAUCCCUGGUUGACCAUAUGGGAAGCCGGGGGACGUGUGAAUUAGGCGCAAGAUGAGCCGGGAAAGGAUGCACGUCCAGACCGCGACAAAGACGGAUCGGCUUCGGCUGGCCCGAGCGGCUCUUGCGGGGUGCUUCUGACCUAUCAACUAGAUGGCAGCGUAAGGGACAUGCUAUGGUGAGCAACGGGUACAG